CCAAGCAAGAUCACUACCGAGACAGCUGAUGUUGUCAUGAGUACCCAAAACAUAACCACACCUACAGAGCUUUAAAAGCAAAUGCUGUCCUUCUGAAAGUAACUCUAGACUAGAAAUAAUGAUUCAUUCUCCUCCUCUGUGGACUGUUCCCACCCCUCUCUGAAGAACAUGUUGAACUUCAGUAAGACAGAAUUGUGAGUUGGAAAGGAACUGAAUUCCUGACUUGAUCCUACCAUGAGUACCAAGCUCUUCUGGUCUGUCAUCAUUUAUUUCCUGGGAACAGGUCCCAUGGAUGCUAAGGAUGCAAGAAUUACCCAGAGCCCAAGACACAUAGUCACAAGAAUGGGACAGAAAGUGACACUAAGAUGUGAACAGAAUUUGGGCCAUGAUUACAUGUAUUGGUAUAGACAAGAUCUGGGCCAAGGACUCCAACUCAUUUAUUACUCUACAUCUGAAAAAAACUUUCAGGAAGGAGACAUUCCUGAGGGAUACAACGCCGCUCGAGAAAAGCCAGAGCUUUUUUCUCUUACUCUGCCAUCAUCCAGAAUCAACCAAACAUCAUUGUAUCUCUGUGCUAGCAGUAGAGACACAGUAAGGCAAAGUUCCAUGGAUGCCAAAGAUGCCAGAAUCAUCCAAACUCCAAGAAAUCUAAUCACAGGAAUAGGACAGACUGUGCACCGAAUUGUGAAGAGAAUUUGGGACCUGAACGCAUGUACUGGUACCGCCAGGACCAGGGCCAGGAGCUUCAGCUCAUUUAUUUCUCCAUAACAAGAGGAAACAAAG
Molecule: non-coding RNA, 783 nt
Organism: Vombatus ursinus (common wombat)
Lineage: Eukaryota; Metazoa; Chordata; Mammalia; Diprotodontia; Vombatidae
Source: the annotation of a RefSeq genome assembly